Molecule: RNA transcript, 401 nt
Organism: Silurus meridionalis
Lineage: Eukaryota; Metazoa; Chordata; Actinopteri; Siluriformes; Siluridae
Gene: ost4
Gene name: oligosaccharyltransferase complex subunit 4 (non-catalytic)
Exons: 4
Source: RefSeq, a predicted model, not a curated record
UAAACACCAUAACAGGAAAUCCGGCGCUUCUUGAACACUGCAUGAGGCGGUUCCAUGAUGACGUGGGCUCAGGCCGCAGAAGCGGAAGUAAACGUGUAGCUGCUGCUCGGGUCUCAGUCGUGGUUCUAGUCUGAGUCCAAACUCAACUCUCACAAUAAAUCAUGGUGACGGACGUACAACUCGCCAUUUUUGCCAACAUGCUGGGGGUCUCGCUGUUCCUUUUGGUGGUGCUUUAUCACUAUGUGGCUGUCAACAACCCAAAGAAGCUGGAAUGAUGGUAAAAUCAUCAUGAAUUAGAAGGUGAAUGACAUGACCAAGGACCACCGAACGGAACAGACGACGAUUCAGCCUGUAGGAUUGUUCUUUUGUAUGAAAAUGUUAAUAAAUAUGUAAAUGAUAAA